Non-coding RNA from Nannospalax galili (Upper Galilee mountains blind mole rat), 643 nucleotides. NCBI's taxonomy places the organism in Eukaryota, Metazoa, Chordata, Mammalia, Rodentia, Spalacidae. The record is from the annotation of a RefSeq genome assembly.
AUACAGUCACACCUAGUUGCUCAGGCAAUUUGUUUCUUCAUUUUCUGGUUGCUCUGCAUCGGCCACUCCAGGCCCAGCCCAGAUACUCAGAAUUUAUAAACAAAGCCUUUACAAGAAGAACUAAACUGUUUCAGACAGGCAGGGGCAGCAAGAUAGUGUCAGAGACUCAGAUUCUCAUGUCCCUGCUGCUCUGGAUAUCUGGUGCCUGUGGGGAGAUCAUGAUGACACAGACUCCAGCCUCACUGGCUGUGUCAGCAGGACAGAGAGUCACCAUUAGCUGCAAGUCCAGUCAGAGUCUUUAUAAAAGUUCAAACAAGAACUACUUGGCCUGGUACCAGCAGAAGCCAGGGCAGACUCCCAAACUGCUGAUCUACUGGGCAUCCACACAAGAAUCAGGGGUCCCUGAUUGCUUCAUAGGCAGUGGGUCUGGGACAGAUUUCACUCUCACCAUCAGUAGUGUCCAGGCUAGAGACCUGGCAGAUUAUUACUGUGAGCAGUAUUAUGAGUUAUCCUCUCACAAUGCUUCACACUCGAACACAAACCACUCAGAUUCUCUCCAGCUGCUUACACAGCCCACAGCCUCAGACUUGCAUACUUCCUCCAUCUGCCAAACAGCCAGCACGUCUGACUCACUGAUUAGAAA